This 133-nucleotide microRNA precursor is filed under the name Chlorocebus sabaeus (green monkey). RNAcentral's name for it is "miRNA (ENSCSAG00000026377.1)". Lineage: Eukaryota; Metazoa; Chordata; Mammalia; Primates; Cercopithecidae. The record is from RNAcentral.
AGGCCCAGCGGCUGCGGGAACACCAGGAAGCUUUGCACCAGCAGAGGCUGCAGGGGCACUUAUUACGGCAGCAGGAACAGCAGCAGCAGCAGCAGCAGCAGCAGCAGCUGGCAAGAGAGAUGGCCCUGCAGAG